CCUACGGGUGGCAGCAGUGGGGAAUAUUGGACAAUGGGCGAAAGCCUGACCCAGCCAUGCCGCGUGUGUGAAGAAGGCCUUCGGGUUGUAAAGCACUUUCAGUGGGGAAGAAAGCCUUGGGGCUAAUACCCUCGAGGAAGGACAUCACCCACAGAAGAAGCACCGGCUAACUCCGUGCCAGCAGCCGCGGUAAUACGGAGGGUGCGAGCGUUAAUCGGAAUUACUGGGCGUAAAGCGCGCGUAGGCGGUCUGAUAAGCCGGUUGUGAAAGCCCCGGGCUCAACCUGGGAACGGCAUCCGGAACUGUCAGGCUAGAGUGCAGGAGAGGAAGGUAGAAUUCCCGGUGUAGCGGUGAAAUGCGUAGAGAUCGGGAGGAAUACCAGUGGCGAAGGCGGCCUUCUGGACUGACACUGACGCUGAGGUGCGAAAGCGUGGGUAGCAAACAGGAUUAGAUACCCGGGUAGUC
RNAcentral lists this ribosomal RNA (465 nucleotides) under Vreelandella stevensii. RNAcentral's name for it is "partial 16S ribosomal RNA". It matches the Rfam family "Bacterial small subunit ribosomal RNA", at positions 338 to 795 of the family's 1533-position model. Lineage: Bacteria; Pseudomonadati; Pseudomonadota; Gammaproteobacteria; Oceanospirillales; Halomonadaceae. The record is from RNAcentral.